CCAAGAAUGGAAUUGCUUUCGAAGUUGGCAGUACUCCUGCUUUUCCUAUGGCACCAGCAGUCCCAUCCUGGUGACAAGUGUCCCUUUCUUGUCUAUCUUGACUUCAGGCUGACCCAGGGCAGCUUGCUGUUGCUCCGUCAACGGAGGCAAGAGAGGAUGGAUUAAAGAUGCCUGUUGAUGUUACUAAGCUACAGGGAAGCCAUAGGAGGAGAUAGCCAGCUGCCCCCGGAGGGCUGCCUGACCAUCAUGUGCAGCCACUGAUGUUAGCUGUGCACAUUUGAUCAGAAACAAGAUCAAGUUCUUGACAGAAAUACAUGUACUAGUACUUGGUGCCACUUUACAGGAUCGUCAGAGUCCUACUCCAAUAUUUGGAUCCCAAAUGACAGAUUUAAUGGCCUUCAUUAAUACCCCGAUGAUGUAGGCUUAAUUUUACGGUUCACCUGUUCUUGCUGUUUACUUUCCUGAGCUUCAGCCAAGCCGAAGAAACUGUGUGAAAACAGAAUCUCGUUGUCUAUGAAAGAAAACGCCACCUUCCUUAGUAGAAAGGAAA
Long non-coding RNA from Lontra canadensis (Northern American river otter), 550 nucleotides. RefSeq lists it as uncharacterized. The transcript is spliced from 3 exons. Lineage: Eukaryota; Metazoa; Chordata; Mammalia; Carnivora; Mustelidae. The record is from RefSeq and is a predicted model, not a curated record.